Molecule: ribosomal RNA, 484 nt
Filed under: uncultured bacterium
Lineage: Bacteria
Description: partial 16S ribosomal RNA
Rfam family: Bacterial small subunit ribosomal RNA
Source: RNAcentral
AUUGAACGCUGGCGGCAUGCUUUACACAUGCAAGUCGAACGGCAGCACGGGCUUCGGCCUGGUUGCGAGUGGCGAACGGGUGAGUAAUACACCGGAAUGUACUCAGAUGUGGGGGAUAAUGUAUCGAAAGUUACGCUAAUACUGCAUACGAGGUACGGCUGAAACCUGGGGAGCGCAAGGCCUUGUGGUCCUGGAGCGGCGGAUUUCCGAUUUGCUAGCUGGUGGGGUAAAGGCUCACCAAGGCGACGAUCAGUAGCUGGUCUGAGAGGACGACCAGCCACACUGGAACUGAGACACGGUCCAGGCUCCUACGGGAGGCAGCAGUGGGGAAUUUUGGACAGUAGGCGCAAGCCUGAUCCAGCAAUGCCGCGUGUGUGAAGAAGGCCUUCGGGUUGUAAAGCUCUUUUGUCAGGGAAGAAACGGUAGAGGCUAAUAUCCUUUGCUAAUGACGGUACCUGAAGAAUAAGCACCGGCUAACUACGUG